Molecule: ribosomal RNA, 253 nt
Filed under: uncultured bacterium
Lineage: Bacteria
Description: partial 16S ribosomal RNA
Rfam family: Bacterial small subunit ribosomal RNA
Source: RNAcentral
UACGUAGGCAGCGAGCGUUGUUCGGAAUUACUGGGCGUAAAGAGCGUGUAGGCGGUUUGGUAGGUCCGUUGUGAAAACUCGAGGCUCAACCUCGAGACGCCGAUGGAAACCAUCAGACUAGAGUCCGGAAGAGGAGAGUGGAAUUCCUGGUGUAGCGGUGAAAUGCGCAGAUAUCAGGAAGAACACCCGUGGCUAAGGCGGCUCUCUAGUACGGUACUGACGCUGAGACGCGAAAGCGUGGGGAGCGAACAGG